This 495-nucleotide ribosomal RNA is filed under the name uncultured bacterium. RNAcentral describes it as "partial 16S ribosomal RNA". It matches the Rfam family "Bacterial small subunit ribosomal RNA", at positions 28 to 506 of the family's 1533-position model. The record is from RNAcentral.
GAUGAACGCUGGCGGCGUGCCUAAUACAUGCAAGUCGAGCGAACAGAUAAGGAGCUUGCUCCUUUGACGUUAGCGGCGGACGGGUGAGUAACACGUGGGUAACCUACCUAUAAGACUGGGAUAACUUCGGGAAACCGGAGCUAUACCGGAUAACAUUUGGAACCGCAUGGUUCUAGAGUGAAAGAUGGUUUUGCUAUCACUUAUAGAUGGACCCGCGCCGUAUUAGCUAGUUGGUAAGGUAACGGCUUACCAAGGCGACGAUACGUAGCCGACCUGAGAGGGUGAUCGGCCACACUGGAGCUGAGACACGGUCCAGACUCCUACGGGAGGCAGCAGUAGGGAAUCUUCCGCAAUGGGCGAAAGCCUGACGGAGCAACGCCGCGUGAGUGAUGAAGGGUUUCGGCUCGUAAAACUCUGUUAUUAGGGAAGAACAAAUGUGUAAGUAACUGUGCACGUCUUGACGGUACCUAAGCAGAAAGCCACGGCUAACUACGU